Molecule: long non-coding RNA, 1716 nt
Organism: Haemorhous mexicanus (house finch)
Lineage: Eukaryota; Metazoa; Chordata; Aves; Passeriformes; Fringillidae
Exons: 4
Source: RefSeq, a predicted model, not a curated record
GGGAGCGCUCCGGUGAGCCCGGCACCGGCUGGGCCCCGACCGUGAGGGGAGCGCUCCGGUGAGCCCGGCACCGGCUGGGCCCCGACCGUGAGGGGAGCGCUCCGGUGAGCCCGGCACCGGCUGGGCCCCGACCGUGAGGGGAGCGCUCCGGUGAGCCCGGCACCGGCUGGGUCCCGACUGUGAGGGGAGCGCUCCGGUGAGCCCGGCACCGGGUGGGCCCCGACCGUGAGGGGAGCGCUCCGGUGAGCCCGGCACCGGCUGAGUCCCGACCGUGAGGGGAGCGCUCCGGUGAGCACUGGACCGGCUUGGCCCCGACCGUGAGGGGAGCGCUCCGGUGAGCCCGGGACCGGCUGGGCCCCGACCGUGAGGGGAGCGCUCCGGUGAGCCCGGGACUGGCUGGGCCCCGGCCGUGAGGGGAGCGCUCCGGUGAGCCCGGGACUGGCUGGGCCCCGGCCGUGAGGGGAGCGCUCCGGUGAGCCCGGGACCGGCUGAGCCCCGGCCGUGAGGGGAGCGCUCCGGUGAGCCCGGGACCGGCUGAGCCCCAGGACCGGCUGAGCCCCGACCGUGAGGGGAGCGCUCCGGUGAGCCCGGGACCGGCUGAGCCCCGGCCUUUCAGGAUGUCCCGGUGCGCUCCGGUGCCAGGGGCUGUGAACUACCAUGGCAGUAGCACACACAUCAGCCAGCCUGCUGCUCCGGAGGGAAUGACAGCUUCUGAGCCAUCCAGCAGGGACUGAGGGUCCCCUGCACACAGAGACAGUCCUGCUCCACCGGGAAGCCAAUGAGCUGAACCUCAAGUCAAAAUUAAAGAGCUCAGGUGCUGGAUCAGGACCUUAUUAAAAGUGAGCAGGUAUCUUCAGCUGCUACUUCUGCUGCCCUGUCAUUGUGGAUUUAUCUACUGCCAGUCUUUGACUAUCUCAAGGAACCAAGCAUCCGUGCUGGUGGCAGCUGAUCAGGAAUUAGAGGGCUUCUUUCCAACAGCUUUACAGGAUACAGAAGAACUGUAGGUGGGACUUAAAUUAGCAAUACAGCAGCAACACCGUCCUUUUGCCACUGAAGAACUGCAAGAACCUUGCUAGCAGCUACAAGGAGCCAAUGUUGGAACCAGCAGCCUUCCUCCCCAGGAACACCCUCAGAGAAUCCAGAGAUCACAGCUUGGAGCACAGAGCUGGUGAGUGGGGACUGCUUCCUCCUGACAUCUGCACUGGGACUCCUUUUUCCACAGCUCACCAUCAACUCAUGCCCUUGGGUUUAGACCUUGCAGAAAUUAAUUGAUUACUGAAUCCCAGUUCAGGAAAAAGGCAGCAAGUGGAUAAGAGAGUUUGGUGAGUUUUUUUAUAAAAAUCAUAAUUAUUAUUAAAAUAUUAAUGUCUGUAUUUAUCUAAUUUUUAAAUUGUUUUGUAUGAAUGUGAUGCACUGAAUACACCAAAGAUGAAAAAGUUGUCCAUAGAUCAAAUGUCUCACAGCUAAAAACAUCUUUCUGAUGACAAACCUAAGUUGACAACUUUGUUAAUAGGAUUAGGUUCAUUAAGGGUCUACUUUCUCUUAUAAAUCUGGCCUGGAUAGCAUGGUGCUUUAGAUUUUGCAUGGCAAAGGGGGGCCCUGCUUAGUCCUGAUUUUCAUGCUUUUACCUAAAACUCUUGCUAGUGAUUGAUACUGGUAAUAUUCAAUGUUUCUAGACCAUACUAGGCUACCUGAAAUUACUUUCAAUUUUCAAAA